AUUUAAAGCACGAAGACUUUAUUUACAGUUUUAUUUUAAUAUAAUAACCAGAUCCAAUGGACCUAACAUAAGAUGAAUUUAUGUUAAUUUUACCAACCAGCGUUCUCAUCAAUCAUAUAUAUUUUGGGGGGAAAUGUAAACAUUAUUGCCUAAAGUACCUUAUAUACAUCUGAUAGCUGACCGUGAGAAAGGACUUUAACAAUCUACAAAGGUAAAGCUGAUAAAAGGGUACCAUAUUUUGGUUUAUUUUAUUUAGCCUUAAAUUAUAUAUUAAUAUUUUUAAAUGUAAACUCAGUAAGAGCUGGUAUAAUCAACUUUUAACAUAAGUAGUCUCAUCUCUUUAAAGAAAAAAGAAAACAAAAAGUUGAGCUUUAGAUCAUUGCUAUUUCAUUGGGAAUUUCUCUAAUAUUUUAUGGGAUAUUUUAAUAGAUUCCAGGAGUUGUGAAAUAUUGUUUCCCCUUGAAAUAUUUUCCACUUGAUGAAAAUCAUUUCUCCUGGAAAAAGAAUUCUUUCAAAAGUUUCCUGAAAGCCUAUUCUUAGGAAAUGAAUUUUUUUUAAAAUCCAGUGUCUUUAAAAUAACAAAAAUACGUCAGAACACAAAUUUGAAGAAAUCACAGAAAAUAGUGCCAAUGGGUAUAUACUGAUGUGUGUGUAUCUCUUACAUAUGUAUAUGUUUAAGAGAACAAAUAUAUAUAUACGAAUAUGUAGGUAGCGCACCUACAUUUUAAUACACACACAUACCCACUUCGUUGGGUCUAAACAUGCACUAGCAAGUUAUUUUAGGGCUUCAACUCCUCAGAAAAUCUCAUUAUGUGAGGAGCGAAGUGGCUCUGCGGGGAGCAUUAUGGAAAUAUCUGGGCUUGAUUUAAUGAGGCUGUUCACAUUGGUGGAAUAUCAACUUAACAGAGAAAAGUCUACCCAGGGCGUCCAAGUUACCAAAAUGAAAAUUGGCAAUUGAGAUGAUAAGAACGUGGCUUUCUUCUGCGAAAUCACUUCAGGUAACAGAGAUAACAUUAAAUAACAUACAUUCUAUGCACCAAGAACAAUGUUUUAUGUACCGAGUCUCUUAUCCGUCUCUCCUAAUGACUUCCCUUAGCGGGUUGUUAGUACUUGACAGCAGGUCUCCAUGCGGGGAACUUUUCUCCAAUUCCACAUUCAAAGGAGGUCCAUCAGAGAGC
RNAcentral lists this long non-coding RNA (1178 nucleotides) under Equus caballus (horse). RNAcentral's name for it is "lncRNA (ENSECAG00000057418.1)". Lineage: Eukaryota; Metazoa; Chordata; Mammalia; Perissodactyla; Equidae. The record is from RNAcentral.